CCUACGGGAGGCAGCAGUGGGGAAUAUUGCACAAUGGGGGAAACCCUGAUGCAGCGACGCCGCGUGAGUGAAGAAGUAUUUCGGUAUGUAAAGCUCUAUCAGCAGGGAAGAAAAUGACGGUACCUGACUACGACGCCCCGGCUAACUACGUUCCAGCGGCCGCGGUACUACGUAGGGGGCAAGCGUUAUCCGGAUUUACUGGGUGUAAAGGGAGCGUAGACGGCCAGACAAGUCAGAAGUGAAAGCCCAGGGCUCAACCCUGGGACUGCUUUUGAAACUGCCGGGCUGGAGUGCAGGAGAGGUAAGCGGAAUUCCUAGUGUAGCGGUGAAAUGCGUAGAUAUUAGGAGGAACACCAGUGGCGAAGGCGGCUUACUGGACUGUAACUGACGUUGAGGCUCGAAAGCGUGGGGAGCAAACAGGAUUAGAUACCCUUGUAGUC
Molecule: ribosomal RNA, 440 nt
Filed under: uncultured bacterium
Lineage: Bacteria
Description: partial 16S ribosomal RNA
Rfam family: Bacterial small subunit ribosomal RNA
Source: RNAcentral